This is a non-coding RNA of Podarcis lilfordi (Lilford's wall lizard), 86 nucleotides long. The record is from the annotation of a GenBank genome assembly. NCBI's taxonomy places the organism in Eukaryota, Metazoa, Chordata, Lepidosauria, Squamata, Lacertidae.
UAUCCAGUAGCACCUUAGAGACCAACUAAGUUUGUUCCGGGUAUACACAGAACAAACGUAGUUGGUCUCUAAGGUGCUACUGGACA